RNAcentral lists this ribosomal RNA (253 nucleotides) under uncultured bacterium. RNAcentral's name for it is "partial 16S ribosomal RNA". It matches the Rfam family "Bacterial small subunit ribosomal RNA", at positions 524 to 776 of the family's 1533-position model. The record is from RNAcentral.
UACGUAGGGGGCAAGCGUUGUCCGGAAUUAUUGGGCGUAAAGAGCGCGUAGGCGGUCCGGUAAGUCGGCUGUGAAAGUCAAGGGCUCAACCCUUGAAAGCCGGCCGAUACUGUCGGACUAGAGUCCGGAAGAGGCGAGUGGAAUUCCCGGUGUAGCGGUGAAAUGCGCAGAUAUCGGGAGGAACACCCGUGGCUAAGGCGGCUCUCUAGUACGGUACUGACGCUGAGACGCGAAAGCGUGGGGAGCGAACAGG